UUCUCAAUUGAUCUUCUUAAUUUCGCUUGAUCCUCAUAUACUUGUCUUUAGAGUUAAUGGAGUCAAUGUUACCUUUCAGCCAUCCUUUUUAAAAGAAUACCGAUUUCUAUAACCAUCAUGUACCGUUCACCUAUCAAACUGCCAUGGUCUACCAAGCAACAAAUGACCAUUGUCCAGAGGCAUCAUAUCACAUAUAAUCUCAUCAUGAUAUCUACCAUGGAAAAAGCAACUAGGGCUUGCUUAGUCACUUUAACUUCU
RNAcentral lists this unclassified non-coding RNA (258 nucleotides) under Hevea brasiliensis (rubber tree). Lineage: Eukaryota; Viridiplantae; Streptophyta; Magnoliopsida; Malpighiales; Euphorbiaceae. The record is from RNAcentral.